UCUUCUCUUGGUCUACAGAUCCGAUGUUUAACCGUUCUGUAGCUCUUGGGACUGAAGA
Molecule: microRNA precursor, 58 nt
Filed under: Anolis carolinensis (green anole)
Lineage: Eukaryota; Metazoa; Chordata; Lepidosauria; Squamata; Anolidae
Description: Aca-Mir-5402_pre stem-loop
Source: RNAcentral